This 86-nucleotide transfer RNA is filed under the name Daphnia pulex (common water flea). It matches the Rfam family "tRNA". Rfam says of the family: Transfer RNA (tRNA) molecules are approximately 80 nucleotides in length. Their secondary structure includes four short double-helical elements and three loops (D, anti-codon, and T loops). Further hydrogen bonds mediate the characteristic L-shaped molecular structure. tRNAs have two regions of fundamental functional importance: the anti-codon, which is responsible for specific mRNA codon recognition, and the 3' end, to which the tRNAs corresponding amino acid is attached (by aminoacyl-tRNA synthetases). tRNAs cope with the degeneracy of the genetic code in two manners: having more than one tRNA (with a specific anti-codon) for a particular amino acid; and 'wobble' base-pairing, i.e. permitting non-standard base-pairing at the 3rd anti-codon position. The record is from Rfam by way of RNAcentral. Lineage: Eukaryota; Metazoa; Arthropoda; Branchiopoda; Diplostraca; Daphniidae.
GGGCCUGUGGCGCAAUGGAUAACGCGUCUGCCUACGGAGCACUGUAUGACAGCAGAAGAUUCCAGGUUCGAUCCCUGGUAGGCUCG